This 492-nucleotide long non-coding RNA is filed under the name Rattus norvegicus (Norway rat). RNAcentral describes it as "long non-coding RNA NONRATT000050". Lineage: Eukaryota; Metazoa; Chordata; Mammalia; Rodentia; Muridae. The record is from RNAcentral.
UACAGCUCAACAGCGGUUCUAGAGCCGCGCCUGGGCGGGAGGGUGGGAGGGGCCUGCCUAGAUAUUUAGCGGCACUGAAGGCCACGCCCCAAGUCGGAAGUGACGGAGCCGAGCUAGCGCGACGAGGCCACCUCUAUGGUCUUCCUCUCCUUCUGGAGUCGGGAAAUGGCCGCUGUGUAGUUACAGCGGAGGUAAAUCCUGAGAAUCGUGCUUCGGCGUGUCAGGAGAAAAGAAAUGGGCCGCUCCAAUUCUAGAUCACAUUCUUCAAGAUCCAAGUCUAGAUCACAGUCUAGUUCUAGAUCAAGAUCAAGAUCACAUUCUAGAAAGAAGAGAUACAGUUCUAGGUCUCGUUCCAGAACAUAUUCAAGGUCUCGUAGUAGAGAUCGUAUUUAUUCUAGAGAUUAUCGUCGGGAUUACAGGAAUAAUAGAGGAAUGAGACGACCUUAUGGGUACAGAGGAAGGGGUAGAGGGUAUUAUCAAGGAGGAGGAGGU